Non-coding RNA from Phrynosoma platyrhinos (Desert horned lizard), 71 nucleotides. The record is from the annotation of a GenBank genome assembly. Lineage: Eukaryota; Metazoa; Chordata; Lepidosauria; Squamata; Phrynosomatidae.
GCCAAUGUGGUAUAGUGGUUUUAACAUUAGACUAGGACUCUGCAGACCAGGGUUCAAAUCCCCACCUAUCA